This 464-nucleotide ribosomal RNA is filed under the name uncultured bacterium. RNAcentral describes it as "partial 16S ribosomal RNA". It matches the Rfam family "Bacterial small subunit ribosomal RNA", at positions 29 to 507 of the family's 1533-position model. The record is from RNAcentral.
ACGAACGCUGGCGGCGUGCUUAACACAUGCAAGUCGAACGGAAAGGCCCCUUUGGGGGUACUCGAGUGGCGAACGGGUGAGUAACACGUGAGUAACCUGCCCUUGACUUCGGGAUAACUUCAGGAAACUGGGGCUAAUACCGGAUAGGAAUCCUUGCUGCAUGGUGGGGGUUGGAAAGCUUCGGCGGUUUUGGAUGGACUCGCGGCUUAUCAGCUUGUUGGUGGGGUAGUGGCUUACCAAGGCUUUGACGGGUAGCCGGCCUGAGAGGGCGACCGGCCACAUUGGGACUGAGAUACGGCCCAGACGCCUACGGGAGGCAGCAGUGGGGAAUAUUGCACAAUGGGCGGAAGCCGGAUGCAGCAACGCCGCGGGCGGGAUGACGGCCUUCGGGUUGUAAACCGCUUUCAGCAGGGGCGAAGCUUGUGGUGACGGUACCUGCAGAAGAAGCACCGGCUAACUACGUG